CUCUCUCUCUCUCUCUCUCUUUAUAUAUACACACACAAACGCGUGUGCGUUUACGCACACAUUUUCGAACUUAGAUAUGUGCUUUCAUGAUUGUUUUCUUACUUAAUAUUAUCUACAUAUUUCUUAAAAAUUAAAUUGUUCAUAUAUUAAAUUUUAAUCAUAAUACUCUUGAGUUUAGCUAAGAGCCAUGAAAUUAGAUUUAAGAAUGUAUAUGUGUGUGUGUAUAUAUAUAAUUAAUUAAUUAAGUUGAUUAUAAUUAUAUUAAUUAUGAUCAUUUGAAAGAUUAAGGUUCAAGUUUACAACCAAGUUAUAAAACCAUCACUUUUUCCCUCUUUAUUUUAGAUAUAUGAAAUAACGUGUAAGAUUAUUACAUAAAUGAAAUUUUUUAUGAUAUAAUGAUAAAGUAUGAUAUCAUGAAGUUUAUGUCCCGUUACUAACCCGUUUGUGCAUGUGUUUUAUCUCUGACAAAAAAGAGAUAUCAUGAAGUUUAUGAUAUAUUUAAAUCAUAAAUGCACAAAAAUUUAAAAAUAAUAUAAUUAAUGAAGUAAAAGAAAUAAUUUAAAAAAAAUAAAAUCCUUACAUUAGAUUCUACAAAUUAACAAAAUUAUAUAUACACCUAAUUUAAAAAAAAUAACCAUAAAAAUUGACACACAUUUAUAUUUAACAUAUGGUUAUAAGAUAAAGUAUAACUAAAAGUAGGUACAUUCUAUUGUCUUUCUUCAUUGCACAUGUCCAUAGUCCACAACUAACAAAUUUGAUCUACAAACUAGACAUUAAAAAAAAAAAAAAGGAAAUUGAUGAGCAAGUCACAAGACGAAAUAGUGCGAUGAAAAAAGAACAAAAAAGAAACACAAAAUGAUAGAUAGAACCUGACUUGGAGUCAAGGCUCCGAUACCAUGAUUGAUGCCAAUAUCAAGAACAAUGCCUUGAAACCCAUGAACAGGUUUGAUUUAUAAUCCCAAAAAAGUCAAAAUCAAGUUCAAACACCAAAGAAUACCUUGACCUAUCAAUUAUAUAGAAUUGAAAACCAAGAUAAUUCAAAGGUAGAAUUAAGGAUUCUUGACCCAAGGUUUAUAAUCAAACAAAAAUCAAGAAUAUCGAGAUUGUUAAAUCCUACAAGAUUA
RNAcentral lists this unclassified non-coding RNA (1124 nucleotides) under Hevea brasiliensis (rubber tree). Lineage: Eukaryota; Viridiplantae; Streptophyta; Magnoliopsida; Malpighiales; Euphorbiaceae. The record is from RNAcentral.